UACAGAGGGUGCGAGCGUUGUCCGGAAUCACUGGGCGUAAAGGGUGCGUAGGUGGGCAGGUAGGUCAGUGGUGAAAUCUCUGGGCUUAACCCGGAAACUGCCAUUGAUACUAUCUGUCUUGAAUACCGUGGAGGUUAGCGGAAUAUGUCAUGUAGCGGUGAAAUGCUUAGAUAUGACAUAGAACACCAAUUGCGAAGGCAGCUGGCUACACGAAUAUUGACACUGAUGCACGAAAGCGUGGGGAUCAAACAGG
Molecule: ribosomal RNA, 253 nt
Filed under: uncultured bacterium
Lineage: Bacteria
Description: partial 16S ribosomal RNA
Rfam family: Bacterial small subunit ribosomal RNA
Source: RNAcentral